Molecule: unclassified non-coding RNA, 381 nt
Filed under: Sporobolomyces sp.
Lineage: Eukaryota; Fungi; Basidiomycota; Microbotryomycetes; Sporidiobolales; Sporidiobolaceae
Description: partial contains 5.8S ribosomal RNA, internal transcribed spacer 2, and large subunit ribosomal RNA
Source: RNAcentral
CGCAUCUUGCGCUCUUGGGUAUUCCUAAGAGCAUGUCUGUUUGAGUGUCGCGAUAAUCAUCAACGCUCCCUCUUUGUUAAUUCAAAGAGUGUGUCUUUUCUGUUUCAACAUUACCAAUUUUUGGCAAUUAGAAACAAAAUGAUAUCAGGGUGUUGGAGUUUGAUGUCUUUCUCGUUCUGAAAAAAAGAACGAGAUACGUCGAAAUGCAGAUUAGGGUUACAUGUUAAGAAAACUACCGAGUGUAACGAUUCGCUUUGCGUAAUAAUUAUUUCGCUUGGCACAGUUCACUUGAACAAGGUCUUGACAAAUCCUUCGAAUCAUAUAUUUUUAAAAUAUCAAAUUUUUGACCUCAAAUCAGUCAGGACUACCCGCUGAACUUAA